RNAcentral lists this ribosomal RNA (301 nucleotides) under uncultured bacterium. RNAcentral describes it as "partial 16S ribosomal RNA". It matches the Rfam family "Bacterial small subunit ribosomal RNA", at positions 509 to 807 of the family's 1533-position model. The record is from RNAcentral.
CAGCCGCCGCGGGAAUACGAAGGGUGCAAGCGUUAAUCGGAAUUACUGGGCGUAAAGCGUGCGUAGGCGGUGAGUUAAGUCUGCUGUGAAAUCCCCGGGCUCAACCUGGGAAUGGCAGUGGAUACUGGCUCGCUAGAGUGUGUCAGAGGAUGGUGGAAUUCCCGGUGUAGCGGUGAAAUGCGUAGAGAUCGGGAGGAACAUCAGUGGCGAAGGCGGCCAUCUGGAACAACACUGACGCUGAGGCACGAAAGCGUGGGGAGCAAACAGGAUUAGAUACCCGCGUAGUCCCUGUCUCUUAUAC